CGCGUAGGCGGAAUAUUAAGUCAGUGGUGAAAUCCUGCAGCUUAACUGUAGAACUGCCAUUGAUACUGGUAAUCUUGAAUUUAGUUGAGGUGGGCGGAAUGUGUAAUGUAGCGGUGAAAUGCUUAGAUAUUACACAGAACACCGAUUGCGAAGGCAGCUCACUAAACUAACAUUGACGCUGAGGCACGAAAGCGUGGGGAGCGAACAGGAUUAGAUACCCUGGUAGUCC
Molecule: ribosomal RNA, 229 nt
Filed under: uncultured bacterium
Lineage: Bacteria
Description: partial 16S ribosomal RNA
Rfam family: Bacterial small subunit ribosomal RNA
Source: RNAcentral